AUGAAACAUGGAAGUUGCCAGUCUAGAAAAGUAGGAAGCCUUGUCUUUAGCAUGUGAUCGGGUGGCACAACCAGCAUUUUCCAGACUCAUGAUGAGCUCCCAAUCCCACCAAAUGCCCUGCUCCACCUUGACCGAGAUGCACCCAUAAACUCUUUUUCUGAUACUCUAAAGCUUAAGAGGGACAUUAACCCAGGAUGCUCAGAUUCAACAAAGAAAAAUGUGUCUUGAGACUGAUGACAAAAUUAUGCCCUCAGCUGGGCUCUUAUGGACCAAGACGGAUGACAAAGAAAGGGCAACCAUGGUUAUAAUUCCUCACCUGAAUCUCUGGAAAGAAGCAAAUUGAAAUGCAGAGCAAGAGCUGGAAAUAGAAGGAGAUGAAGAGAGAAAAGAGCUAUCUCUAAUAAAGAUGAUGAAGAGGAAAAGUUCUCCAAAUCUCAGUGGCGAGGUGCAUUCAUGGACACAUACCAAUAGUCCAG
Molecule: non-coding RNA, 476 nt
Organism: Delphinapterus leucas (beluga whale)
Lineage: Eukaryota; Metazoa; Chordata; Mammalia; Artiodactyla; Monodontidae
Source: RefSeq, a predicted model, not a curated record